AGCGAACGUUAGCGGCGGGCCUAACACAUGCAAGUCGAACGCGAAAGGUCUUCGGACUGAGUAGAGUGGCGCACGGGUGAGUAACACGUAGGUAAUCUACCCUUUGGCGGGGAUAACGUUCCGAAGGAGCGCUAAUACCGCAUAAGACCACGGAGUCUCCGGACGCUGUGGGAAAGGUAGGCCUCUUCUUGAAAGCUACCACCGAAGGAUGAGCCUGCGUCCCAUCAGCUAGUUGGUAAGGUAAUGGCUCACCAAGGCAUCGACGGGUAGCUGGUCUGAGAGGAUGACCAGCCACACUGGAACUGAGACACGGUCCAGACUCCUACGGGAGGCAGCAGUGGGGAAUCUUGCGCAAUGGGCGAAAGCCUGACGCAGCGACGCCGCGUGGGUGAUGAAGGCCUUCGG
This 405-nucleotide ribosomal RNA is filed under the name uncultured bacterium. RNAcentral's name for it is "bacterial SSU rRNA". It matches the Rfam family "Bacterial small subunit ribosomal RNA", at positions 29 to 421 of the family's 1533-position model. The record is from RNAcentral.